Molecule: long non-coding RNA, 1272 nt
Organism: Oncorhynchus tshawytscha (Chinook salmon)
Lineage: Eukaryota; Metazoa; Chordata; Actinopteri; Salmoniformes; Salmonidae
Source: Ensembl
CUAACAGUGAAAUGUUUACUUAAAUAAAUACACAAUGAGCAAUGAUAACUAGGCUACAUACACUGGGUACCAGUACUGAGUCAAUGAUAACUUGGUUAUAUACACUGGGUACCAGUACUGAGUCAAUGAUAACUAGGCUAUAUACACUGGGUACCAGUACUGAGUCAAUGAUAACAUGGUUAUAUACACAGGGUACCAGUACAGAGUCAAUGAUAACUUGGUUAUAUACACAUGGUACCAGUACUGAGUCAAUGAUAACUUGGUUAUAUACACUGGGUACCAGUACUGAGUCAAUGAUAACUUGGUUAUAUACACUGGGUACCAGUACUGAGUCAAUGAUAACUAGGCUAUAUACACUGGGUACCAGUACUGAGUCAAUGAUAACAUGGCUAUAUACACUGGGUACCAGUACUGAGUCAAUGAUAACAUGGCUAUAUACACAGGGUACCAGUACUGAGUCAAUGAUAACUUGGUUAUAUACACUGGGUACCAGUACUGAGUCAAUGAUAACUUGGUUAUAUACAUGGGGUACCAGUACAGAGUCAAUGAUAACUUGGUUAUAUACACAUGGUACCAGUACUGAGUCAAUGAUAACUUGGUUAUAUACAUGGGGUACCAGUACAGAGUCAAUGAUGACUUGGCUAUAUACACAGGGUACCAGUAAUGAUAACUAGUCUAUACACACAGGGUACCAGUACUGAGUCAAUGUACAGGGGUACAAGGUAAUUGAGGUAGAUAUAUACAUGUAGGCGUUGUCACGAUACCAGCAUUUUGACAUCUUUACUGAUACCAAGUUUAGUAUCACGAUACUCGAUAGCAAAAUGAUAUCAUGGCAAAAAUAAAGGCCUAUUAGUCCCCGAAAUGGCAUUUGAUCCAAACAGAUCAACUCAGCUACUCCUCUGUUCAAUCGUUGGGCAUCUUCUGAGUUCAAUAUCAUCACAUUCACAAAAAAAAAAAAUGUAAUUAAUCAAUAAAUUAUACAUUAUAAAUGUGACUUUUCUUUUCUUAUAUUUGUUCUUUAAAAAAAAAAAACUUAUCUAACUACAUCAAUGGUAAUAGUUCAUUUGAAUGGUAAAUCUCUAUUGAUGAACUGGGUAAAUCAAGAUGUAGCCUAGGCCUAUCCACAAUACAGGCAAACACAUAUUAUUCAAUAGGAGUGUGUGGAUGCAUUGAGUUAAUGAGCUGGUUUUGGCUGAUUUCAUGGGGCUACAGAUGACAAACAAUCUGUUUCCCUUCCAUUAGGGACUUAUUUUAUUGUACUGAUCAUCAUUU